Molecule: RNA transcript, 548 nt
Organism: Medicago truncatula (barrel medic)
Lineage: Eukaryota; Viridiplantae; Streptophyta; Magnoliopsida; Fabales; Fabaceae
Exons: 3
Source: RefSeq, a predicted model, not a curated record
CAUGUUUGUUUAAUUUGUGUGGAGAUGGAAAGUGUGUAAGAGAUGGCUCCGACUUUAAGUGUCAAUGCAAUGAAGGCUCAGCCAAUAUUCUUAAUGAUCCUAAGAUGUUUUGCUUGAAAAAAUGUGGCGUAGGAGGAGAUUGUGCUGGUAUAGAUCUUGGUGGGUUCUUCACACCAGAAGUUCCACCUCCACCUCCACCUUCACCUCCACCUCCAAAUUCAGGAACUGGGUCAGGUGAAAUGCUGAACUGCUCAAAGAAACUUUAUAUGCUGGCUAUAAUGAUCUUAGCAAUAAUAUCUCAAAACUGGAUUUGAAAGGGAGCAUUGAAGUGCUUGUAGACUAUUUCAAAGGAACACAUAAUAUUUAUAAAUAUGUCAAAGCUGGAAUUUAAUGCAGUUAUUUUUAUUAUUUUUUUGUUUCCAUUUUCCAUAUAAGUGUCCUUUUUCAUUUUAAUAAUAUAGUAGUUCUGAUAUGUGAUCAUUUAAUAAAUUUGAUUGAUUAUCUAUGUAUUCUGUUUCACUCAUGAAACUUGAUCCUCCAAAGAAAUA